Molecule: ribosomal RNA, 660 nt
Filed under: uncultured Sphingomonas sp.
Lineage: Bacteria; Pseudomonadati; Pseudomonadota; Alphaproteobacteria; Sphingomonadales; Sphingomonadaceae
Description: bacterial SSU rRNA
Rfam family: Bacterial small subunit ribosomal RNA
Source: RNAcentral
AGUCGAACGAGACCUUCGGGUCUAGUGGCGCACGGGUGCGUAACGCGUGGGAAUCUGCCCUUGGGUUCGGAAUAACUCCCCGAAAGGGGUGCUAAUACCGGAUGAUGUCGGAAGACCAAAGAUUUAUCGCCCAAGGAUGAGCCCGCGUAGGAUUAGCUUGUUGGUGAGGUAAAAGCUCACCAAGGCGACGAUCCUUAGCUGGUCUGAGAGGAUGAUCAGCCACACUGGGACUGAGACACGGCCCAGACUCCUACGGGAGGCAGCAGUGGGGAAUAUUGGACAAUGGGCGAAAGCCUGAUCCAGCAAUGCCGCGUGAGUGAUGAAGGCCUUAGGGUUGUAAAGCUCUUUUACCCGGGAUGAUAAUGACAGUACCGGGAGAAUAAGCCCCGGCUAACUCCGUGCCAGCAGCCGCGGUAAUACGGAGGGGGCUAGCGUUGUUCGGAAUUACUGGGCGUAAAGCGCGCGUAGGCGGUUUUUCAAGUCAGGGGUGAAAGCCCGGAGCUCAACUCCGGAAUAGCCCUUGAAACUGGAUGACUUGAGUCUUGGAGAGGUCAGUGGAGUUCCGAGUGUAGAGGUGAAAUUCGUAGAUAUUCGGAAGAACACCAGUGGCGAAGGCGACUGACUGGACAAGUACUGACGCUGAGGUGCGAAAGCGUGGGG